RNAcentral lists this unclassified non-coding RNA (240 nucleotides) under soil metagenome. RNAcentral's name for it is "partial contains 5.8S ribosomal RNA, internal transcribed spacer 2, and large subunit ribosomal RNA". The record is from RNAcentral.
AACAAGGCGUACCUGCGGACCUGCGGAAGGAUCAUCAUUGAAAACAAAUUUGGACAAGGGGAUUGUGAUUGACGGGGGAGGGGAAGGUUUUAUUUCCUGAGCCUUGAGAGAACAACCUCUUGGACAAACAACCAAUCUUCAUGACUAGGAAAAAACACAGUAAAGUAAACCAGUGGUUUGGGGGGGGGCAUAAACAACAAACAAGUUCUUGUCUGACAAGUAGUGUUUGGUGAUACUGAU